UCCUUGGGAUACCACCCUUGUAGUACUGGGACUCUAACCAUAGGCCAUGAAUCUGGUCUUGGGACACUGUCAGGUGGGCAGUUUGACUGGGGCGGUCGCCUCCCAAAAGGUAACGGAGGCGCUCAAAGGUUCUCUCAGUACGGUCGGAAAUCGUACGUAGAGUGUAAAGGCAAAAGAGAGCUUGAUUGCAAGACAUACAGGUCGAGCAAGGAUGAAAAUCGGACUUAGUGAUCCGGUGGUUCUGCGUGGAAGGGCCAUCGCUCAACGGAUAAAAGCUACCCUGGGGAUAACAGGCUUAUCUCCCC
RNAcentral lists this ribosomal RNA (305 nucleotides) under Clostridioides difficile. RNAcentral describes it as "bacterial LSU rRNA". It matches the Rfam family "Bacterial large subunit ribosomal RNA", at positions 2189 to 2492 of the family's 2925-position model. Lineage: Bacteria; Bacillati; Bacillota; Clostridia; Peptostreptococcales; Peptostreptococcaceae. The record is from RNAcentral.